This 543-nucleotide ribosomal RNA is filed under the name uncultured bacterium. RNAcentral's name for it is "bacterial SSU rRNA". It matches the Rfam family "Bacterial small subunit ribosomal RNA", at positions 335 to 873 of the family's 1533-position model. The record is from RNAcentral.
CACCUACGGGUGGCAGCAGUGGGGAAUUUUGGACAAUGGGCGCAAGCCUGAUCCAGCCAUGCCGCGUGCAGGAUGAAGGCCUUCGGGUUGUAAACUGCUUUUGUACGGAACGAAAAGGUUUCUUUUAAUACAGGGAACUGAUGACGGUACCGUAAGAAUAAGCACCGGCUAACUACGUGCCAGCAGCCGCGGUAAUACGUAGGGUGCGAGCGUUAAUCGGAAUUACUGGGCGUAAAGCGUGCGCAGGCGGCGAUGUAAGACAGAGGUGAAAUCCCCGGGCUCAACCUGGGAACUGCCUUUGUGACUGCAUCGCUGGAGUGCGGCAGAGGGGGAUGGAAUUCCGCGUGUAGCAGUGAAAUGCGUAGAUAUGCGGAGGAACACCGAUGGCGAAGGCAAUCCCCUGGGCCUGCACUGACGCUCAUGCACGAAAGCGUGGGGAGCAAACAGGAUUAGAUACCCUGGUAGUCCACGCCCUAAACGAUGUCAACUGGUUGUUGGGAAUUAGUUUUCUCAGUAACGAAGCUAACGCGUGAAGUGACCGCC